GCGGGGAUGCUUUACACAUGCAAGUCGAACGGCAGCGCUAGAGAGCUUGCUCUCUUGGCGGCGAGUGGCGGACGGGUGAGUAAUAUAUCGGAACGUGCCCAGUAGCGGGGGAUAACUACUCGAAAGAGUGGCUAAUACCGCAUACGCCCUACGGGGGAAAGGGGGGGAUCGCAAGACCUCUCACUAUUGGAGCGGCCGAUAUCGGAUUAGCUAGUUGGUGGGGUAAAGGCUCACCAAGGCAACGAUCCGUAGCUGGUUUGAGAGGACGACCAGCCACACUGGGACUGAGACACGGCCCAGACUCCUACGGGAGGCAGCAGUGGGGAAUUUUGGACAAUGGGGGAAACCCUGAUCCAGCCAUCCCGCGUGUAUGAUGAAGGCCUUCGGGUUGUAAAGUACUUUUGGCAGAGAAGAAAAGGUACCUCCUAAUACGAGGUACUGCUGACGGUAUCUGCAGAAUAAGCACCGGCUAACUACGUGCCAGCAGCCGCGGUAAUACGUAGGGUGCAAGCGUUAAUCGGAAUUACUGGGCGUAAAGCGUGUGUAGGCGGUUCGGAAAGAAAGAUGUGAAAUCCCAGGGCUCAACCUUGGAACUGCAUUUUUAACUGCCGAGCUAGAGUAUGUCAGAGGGGGGUAGAAUUCCACGUGUAGCAGUGAAAUGCGUAGAUAUGUGGAGGAAUACCGAUGGCGAAGGCAGCCCCCUGGGAUAAUACUGACGCUCAGACACGAAAGCGUGGGGAGCAAACAGGAUUAGAU
Molecule: ribosomal RNA, 756 nt
Filed under: Alcaligenes faecalis
Lineage: Bacteria; Pseudomonadati; Pseudomonadota; Betaproteobacteria; Burkholderiales; Alcaligenaceae
Description: bacterial SSU rRNA
Rfam family: Bacterial small subunit ribosomal RNA
Source: RNAcentral